This 4810-nucleotide long non-coding RNA is filed under the name Volvox carteri. RNAcentral describes it as "long non-coding RNA (VCAR_LNC000820)". Lineage: Eukaryota; Viridiplantae; Chlorophyta; Chlorophyceae; Chlamydomonadales; Volvocaceae. The record is from RNAcentral.
AGAGGUUAAGGCCUGGCUUCUGCUCCCGUCGCGUCACGGCGCGUCCGGGUUCAAAUCCGCCUGCCGACCUCUCGGGGUGUUUGAGAGGUGAUGAAAUGGGAGGUGGCCCCCCAUCUUGUGGACGGUGUAGGACGUGAUAAAAUCAACUCGCGAGCUGACCAGGAACUAAGUUGACGCGCCGUUGAUCCGCUAGAUUUGGUUGGAUGCUGGUGGUGAGUUGCCAAACUCAAAGAGUACACUCUGAAGUCGGAUGGGGUGAAUGGCUUCGGGUGCCCCUCUAGCAGGGGAGAGCAGGGAAUUGCCUCGGGUAGGAGGCCACUGGUGAAGCUUAACCACCCUGUAACAACAUCAACUCCCCAUAAUCAAUCCCCUCACGUUGCUCGAAACCCUUGGCAACUAAACGCGCCUUAAAACGCUCCACGCUGCCAUCAUCGCUGUACACCUUGUAUACCCAACGACACGGCAACAAACGAGUACCAGGAGGUGGCUUCUUCAGCUCCCAAGUACUAUUAGCCAUCUGGGCGGCGAUCUCCUCGUCCAUCGCACGCCGCCAGUCGUCUGCAUGUGGACUUGCAAUUGCUUCCUCAAACGAAUUAGGCUCAGGAAUACCAGCAGAGAAAGCAGCGUUAACGCGACCAGUGACAGUGCGACCAGGUUCGUUUCGCCACCAUUCGCCAGGGCGUUUACGCUCUCUAACUGGGUACCUAGUUCCCGCCAUUUCCACAUCAGGCUGAUUGAUUCCUUGCCCGUUCGCACUGCUGGAAGGUCCAGCCCCAGCCGGCGCCCCCUCGCCACCCAAAUGCGGCGAUCCCUCGCCGACGGUGCUACCUGGUGUCCCUUCGCCAGCCCUAGGCAGCGAUCCCUCACCAGAUAAACUAGUGUGAAACUCCUCCUCCUCGUCGGCAUCGGACUCAUAGUCGGAGUCCCCGGCAUUACGCCGCCGGCCGACAUUAGACUCGUCANNNNNNNNNNNNNNNNNNNNNNNNNNNNNNNNNNNNNNNNNNNNNNNNNNGUGACAACCCUGCUUGACGACCAUACUGGUCUUUCAGCUGUUGCGUUUACAGCGACCAAGGAGGAGGUCUACCAGAAGAUGGUGGUAAUGAUAGCGGAACUGGAGCGCGCUACUGGCAGGCAGGUUAAGGAGGUGCGUACAGAUCGUGGCGGGGAGUUCGUUAAUACUCGCACGAAGGCCUAUUUCGCUUCCAGGGGUAUUCUACACGGAACUACGGUAGGCUACACCCCUGAGCAGAACGGAGCUGCAGAACGUUUAAAUCGCACUCUUUUGGACAAGACUAGGGCUAUGCUAGUUGAGUCUGGACUGCCUAAAUCAUUAUGGGCGGAGGCGUUAGCGACAGCCAACUAUCUUAGGAAUGUGUCGCCAACUGCUGGGUCAACCGUCACUCCGUACGAAGCUUUCUUUAACGUUCGUCCGAACGUCAGUCACCUGCGAGUCUUUGGAUGCGUUGCCUACGUCCACGUACCCGACGUCAAGCGCGACAAGUUCGACCCGGUGAGCAGGCGUGGAAUACUUGUCGGAUACGGGAACGGUGGACAGUAUCGUGUACUAUACGAGGACGGCAUUAUUGCCGUAGUUUCCAACAUUCGUUUUGAUGAAUCUAACGUCGGCCGGCGGCGUAAUGCCGGGGACUCUGAUUAUGAGUCCGAUGCCGACGAGGAGGAGGAUUUUCGCACUAGUUUGCCUGGUGAGGGAUCGCUGCCUAAGGCUGGCGAAGGGAUACCAGGUAGCACCGUCGGCGAGGGAUCGCCACACUUGGGUGGCGAGGGGGCGCCGGCUGGGGCUGGACCUUCCAGCAGUGCGAACGGGCAAGGAAUCAAUCAGCCUGAUGUGGAAAUGGCGGGAACUAGGUACCCAGUUAGAGAGCGUAAACGCCCUGGCGAAUGGUGGCGAAACGAACCUGGUCGCACAGUCACUGGUCGCGUUAACGCUGCUUUCUCUGCUGGUAUUCCUGAGCCUAAUUCGUUUGAGGAAGCAAUUGCAAGUCCACAUGCAGACGACUGGCGGCGUGCGAUGGACGAGGAGAUCGCCGCCCAGAUGGCUAAUAGUACUUGGGAGUUGAAGAAGCCACCUCCUGGUACUCGUUUGUUGCCGUGUCGUUGGGUAUAUAAGGUUAAGUACAGCGAUGACGGCAGCGUGGAGCGUUUUAAGGCGCGUUUAGUUGCCAAGGGUUUCGAGCAACGUGAGGGGAUUGAUUAUGGGGAGUUGUUUGCCCCUACCUCUCGUGGUUCGUCGUUGCGUGCUUUAUUAGCAGUUGCCGCAGCCCGGAACAUGACGGUACAUCAGCUCGAUGUGUCUACUGCGUUUCUGAAUGGUGAGCUGAAGGAGGAGUUGUGGAUGGAGCAACCGCCUGGGUAUGCAUCCAGUGACCGGUCGCUUGCGUGCAAGCUGCAGAAGUCUAUUUACGGUUAAAGCAGGCACCCCGUUGCUGGUAUGAAAAACUAUCAGCAGAGUUCGCCAAAUUGGGUCUUUAUCCUUCGAAGUCUGAUCNNNNNNNNNNNNNNNNNNNNNNNNNNNNNNNNNNNNNNNNNNNNNNNNNNNNNNNNNNNNNNNNNNNNNNNNNNGAACUAGGAUUGCGUUUUGGGGGUGUUGGCGACGUUGCUAUGUCCGGGUACAGUGAUUCGGACUGGGCAGGAGACCCAGUUACGCGGCGUUCUACUUCCGGUUACGUAUUCACUCUUAAUGGGGCUGCGAUUAGCUGGAGCAGCCAACUUCAACGUACUGUGGCGGCUUCGUCGGUGGAGGCUGAGUACCAAGCUACAGCAGCGGCUGUUCGUGAGGCUUUGUGGCUUCGCAAGCUGAUGGUUGAUUUGAGCUUGCCUGAGAGCGCGGUGAAAAUCCAGAUAGACUCCCAGGGGGCGCUUAGCUUGGGAAACAACCCGAUUACGUCUGCUCGGUCGAAGCACAUCAACGUGCAGCAUCACAUAGUGCGUGAGAGGGUGAAUAGUGGUGAGGUGCAGUUGGAAUACUGCCCUACGGAGUGGAUGGUUGCGGAUGUGCUAACGAAGGCUCUGGGCGAGGUGAAGUUCAAACGUUGCCGAGAUGCGAUGGGCCUUGUGUGUGAAGUGUGCAGAUGAACUUGGUACUCGUUGGGAUACGGCCCGAGGGGGCGUGUUGAGGAAACGGUCCUCUCCCAACUCGUGUGGUUGUCGACCAGGGGAUUUGACCCCGGGUCUGCGCCUGACUAAUGGGGAAGACUUACCCCAGAACCUUAUGGGCUACCGAUGCAUAUCCGGUAGCUAAGUGAUAGACAUUAGGGCACCGUCAGGACGGCGCAGUGAGAUCGCGGAAUGUACGUGCAGUUAGAUCGCGGAAUGUACGAGUUUUCCGCUAGCGCCGGUAUUUAGGGCGGUGACUGCGCUUAUUUGUUUAUCUCACAACGAUCGGUAUUCCUACAAGGAAUCUCCUCAAGUCCUGCCGAACGCUAACAAUACUCUUUACAUUACUUGUAACAGUUUAUCGUGCUAAAUAUCUUCGCCACCGGCAAUCCUUCCGAAAUAACAAUCAGCGUUAGCCGUCACCGUCGCCAAUUCUUCAAUAGUUCCCGCCAUUUCCACAUCAGGCUGAUUGAUUUCUUGCCCGUUCGCACUGCUGGAAGGUCCAGCCCCAGCCGGCGCCCCCUCGCCACCCAAAUGCGGCGAUCCCUGGCCGACGGUGCUACCUGGUGUCCCUUCGCCAGCCCUAGGCAGCGAUCCCUCACCAGAUAAACUAGUGUGAAACUCCUCCACCUCGUCGGCAUCGGACUCAUAAUCGGAGUCCCCGGCAUUACGCCGCCGGCCGACAUUAGACUCAUCGAAACGAACGUAAGAAACUACGGCAAUAAUGCCGUCCUCGUAUAGCACACGAUACUGUCCUCCGUUCCCGUAUCCGACAAGUAUUCCACAUCUGCUCACCCCUGCUCACCGGGUCGAACUUGUCGCGCUUGACGUCGGGUACGUGGACGUAGGCAACGCAUCCAAAGACUCGCAGGUGACUGACGUUCGGACGAACGUUAAAGAAAGCUUCGUACGGAGUGACGGUUGACCCAGCAGUUGGCGACACAUGCCUAAGAUAGUUGGCUGUCGCUAACGCCUCCGCCCAUAAUGACUUAGGUAGACCGGACUCGACAAGCAUAGCCCUAGUUUUGUCUAGGAGAGUGCGAUUUAAGCGUUCCGCUGCUCCGUUCUGCUCAGGGGUGUAGCCUACCGUAGUCCCGUGUACAAUACCCCUGGAAGCGAAAUAGGCCUUCGUGCGAGUAUUAACGAACUCCCCGCCACGAUCUGUACACACCUCCUUAACCUGCCUGCCAGUAGCGCGCUCCAGUUCCGCUAUCAUUACCACCAUCUUCUGAUAGACCUCCUCCUUGGUCGCUGUAAAACAACAGCUGAAAGACCGGUAUAAUCGUCAAGCAGAGUUAUCACGUAACACGAACCACUAGGCGAAGGUUCAGGCAUAGGUCCACACACAUCCAUUAACAGGCAGGCGGCUGGCAGAGGUUAAGGCCUGGCUUCUGCUCCCGACGCGUCCCGGCGCGUCUGGGUUCAAAUCCGCCUGCCGACCUCUCGGGGUGUUUGAGAGGUGAUGGGAGGUGGCCCCCCAUCUUGUGGACGGUGUAGGACGUGAUAAAAUCAACUCGCGAGCCGACCAGGAACUAAGUUGACGCGCCGUUGAUCCGCUAGACUUGGUUGGAUGCUGGUGGUGAGUUGCCAAACUCAAAGAGUACACUCUGAAGUCGGAUGGGGUGAAUGGCUUAGGGUGCCCCUCUAGCAGGGGAGAGCAGGGAAUUGCCUCGGGAAGGAGGCCACUGGUGAAGCG